RNAcentral lists this ribosomal RNA (497 nucleotides) under uncultured bacterium. RNAcentral describes it as "partial 16S ribosomal RNA". It matches the Rfam family "Bacterial small subunit ribosomal RNA", at positions 28 to 507 of the family's 1533-position model. The record is from RNAcentral.
GAUGAACGCUGGCGGCGUGCCUAACACAUGCAAGUCGAACGAUCAAACGCCUUGCUUGCUGCUCGGAGGUGAUGAGCGGCCGACGGAGGAAUAACACGUUAGCCAACUUAUCACUUCUGCUGAACAACCGCAAGCAAGAGUGGAUAACACGUGAUAUUUUGAAUCUCUUGCUUCAAUAGUGUGAGAAGGUUAUGGUUUCGCUGAUGGAUGGGCCCGCGCCGCAUUAGCUAGUUGGUAGGGUAAUGGCUUACCAAGGCGGCGAUGAGUAGCCGCCCUGAGAGGGUGGUGGGCGACACUGCAACUGAGGAGCGACCGCGACGCCUACGGGGGGCGGCAGUAGGGAGUAAUCCGCAAUGGGCGAAAGCAUGCUGGAGCAACGACGCGUGGGGGAUGAAGGUCUUCUGCUCGUAGUGCUCUGUUAUCGGGGAAGAAGAAAUGUGUACGUGUUUAUGCACGUCUUGACGGUACCUAAACAGAAAGCGACGGCUAACUACGUG